Molecule: long non-coding RNA, 1010 nt
Filed under: Equus asinus (donkey)
Lineage: Eukaryota; Metazoa; Chordata; Mammalia; Perissodactyla; Equidae
Description: lncRNA (ENSEASG00005025324.1)
Source: RNAcentral
AUUGGAUCCGAUUUCGGGGGGAGGAGGAUGGUGGCGCAGGGCUGGGUGACGAGAGGGGAGGGGAGGAGCUGGGAGGCGAGCGCUGCCGCUGGACGGGUGGGGGUGGGGGGUGCUGCGGGGAAGGCGGGGGAGCCGGGACGUCCAAGUGUUUCUGAAGGCUGGAAGUUCAAGAUCAAGGCACGGGCAGGUUCAGUGUCUGAUGAGGGCCGGCUUCCUCAUAGACGGCUCUCUUCUCAUGAUCACUCUCUGCCCUUGUCCACUUUGUUCUUGGAAGGACAUCAGUGGGUUCCCUUGCCCUCUGGCUUCUGGUUGGAUUCACCCAAUGGAGAGCCCUGGCAGGAGAUUGGAAGAAGAGAGGAUAGUAAGGCCGACAAGCCCGGCUGGCUGUGGAGUAGAGGGAAACACCUCUUUUAUCAAAAUUGGCUUCAAAAGAUGUCUAUCUCCCGUUUCUGGUGAGUCAUCUGUCCAUUCACAAGUGUUGGAAGUGGGAAGGAGGCCACUGAGAGACUCCCCAAGGAUACGCUAAUUGGAUGAGGAAACUCUGGAACUGAAGGGAACUUUAAUGUCCAUUUCAUUCAUCCCUCUACUUUAAAGCACCAAACGAAGGCCCAUCCAAGGUGAAAAGCAUCCAUUUCUUGGAGAAAUGCCACUGUGAGAUUGCAAGUCCCAGGACCAGGACUUAUGUGUCUCUUUUUCCAGCGAAGUGGCUAAAGGUCUGGAGCUGAAGUUGCAAAUGCCAUAGUGUCCUUGAAUCUCAAGUCUGGACUGAAAAAAGUUCUUAAAGGUCCCCUGGUUCAACCUUCUACUUAACGUGGAAAUCCUUUCUACCACAUCCCUGCAUGGGAAUCACAGGUCUCUGUACCUGUCUAGCAUAGUCCACUUGGGGGGUUAUUCUCCUAAUUAAAACAUCUUUCUCUUACUAAAUGGGAAAUUACCUCCAAUUUCUAUUCACCCCAUAUUUCUUCAGUUCCUACUAUGUGCCAGGCAUGCUGCUAGGCCCAUGAGAUAUA